This 497-nucleotide ribosomal RNA is filed under the name uncultured bacterium. RNAcentral describes it as "partial 16S ribosomal RNA". It matches the Rfam family "Bacterial small subunit ribosomal RNA", at positions 28 to 507 of the family's 1533-position model. The record is from RNAcentral.
GAUGAACGCUGGCGGCGUGCCUAAUACAUGCAAGUCGAGCGAACAGACGAGGAGCUUGCUCCUCUGACGUUAGCGGCGGACGGGUGAGUCACACGUGGAUAACCUACCUAUAAGACUGGGAUAACUUCGGGAAACCGGAGCUAAUACCGGAUAAUAUAUUGAACCGCAUGGUUCAAUAGUGAAAGACGGUUUUGCUGUCACUUAUAGAUGGAUCCGCGCCGCAUUAGCUAGUUGUUAAGGUAACGGCUUAUCAAGGCUACGAUGCGUAGCCGACCUGAGGGGGUGAUCGGCCACCCUGGAACUGGGACACGGUCCAGACUCCUACGGGAGGCAGCAGUAGGGAAUCUUCCGCAAUGGGCGAAAGCCUGACGGAGCAACGCCGCGUGAGUGAUGAAGGUCUUCGGAUCGUAAAACUCUGUUAUUAGGGAAGAACAAAUGUGUAAGUAACUAUGCACGUCUUGACGGUACCUAAUCAGAAAGCCACGGCUAACUACGUG